This 1069-nucleotide long non-coding RNA is filed under the name Marmota monax (woodchuck). The record is from RNAcentral. Lineage: Eukaryota; Metazoa; Chordata; Mammalia; Rodentia; Sciuridae.
GUCAACUACUAAAUCUAUAGAUACCAUGUAAACUAGGCCUUUUCCCUAAAUUCCAAACUUCUAAUCUGAAACUCCAGUUUUCUUUAAGGUGGGAAUGUAAAGAUACACUUGGCCCACAAGCAUCUCAAAAUCAGUAUGUCACAUAUCAAAAUUAACCAAACUUUUCUUUUUUCUUCUCUCUUCUUUUUUGUACUGGGGAUUAAACUCAAUGAUGCUCUACAACUGAGCUACACCCCAGCCCUUUUUAUUUUUCAUUUUAAGACAGGAUCUCGCCAAAUUGCUUAGGGUGUUGCUAAAUAGCUGAGGCUGGCCUCAAACAUGCAGUCCUCCUACCUGUGACUCCUGAGUCACUGAGAUUACAGGCAUGCCCCAUAGUUCUAUUUUCUUUCUCUCUCAGUCAAUGUUACCAUCAGCCAACUAGCUCAGCUGCCCACAAUAGAAAUCUAGGAAUCAUGCUAUUAUACCAUAUCCAUAUUGAAAGGCUAUCCAUAUAGAAAGGGUCCUAAGCCUCUUUAGUCUUACCUCCAACUUUUUCCAUCCUUCCUUACUCUUUUCCAGCAAUAUAGAUAUUGAACUUACUGGCCUUUCCUGCUUAGGACAUUAACAUAUGGCCUCCUCCUUUGCCUGGGAUGUUCUUCCUCCCUUUUUGGCCAAGCCAAUUCCUCUUUGUCCUUUCAAGUCUGUGCUUAGCCAUCCCACUUUAAGAAGGCCUUAUUUAAAUAUCUAGUGUUAGGUGUAUGCUUUCACAGCAUCUUGUAUUUUUCUGUUACUUGUAAUUGGUAUUAUUAUUAAUUAAUUUAAUAUGUCUCUUUAAUGAGACUGGACCAUAGAGAAGAAACUAUGGCUGUUUUAUUCACCCCACAUUCUCAGUGCCUAGCAAAGACUACAGUGUACAGGCACACAUUAGGUGCUAAAAGUUAACGUGAGAAUACUUACAUGAGUACUGAAUAAAUAAAUCCAAUCUCUUUUAUACCUCAUUUCAUUCACUUGCUACUUUUUCUAGUUCAUGUACUCAUUAUUUCUUGCCUGGAUACUAUAAUAGCUUCCAAAAGACUCCCUACCACCUCUC